RNAcentral lists this ribosomal RNA (253 nucleotides) under uncultured bacterium. RNAcentral's name for it is "partial 16S ribosomal RNA". It matches the Rfam family "Bacterial small subunit ribosomal RNA", at positions 524 to 776 of the family's 1533-position model. The record is from RNAcentral.
CACGUAGGGCGCAAGCGUUGUCCGGAAUUAUUGGGCGUAAAGAGCUCGUAGGCGGUCUGUUGCGUCUGCUGUGAAAACCCGGGGCUUAACCCCUGGCUUGCAGUGGAUACGGACAGACUAGAGGUAGGUAGGGGAGAAUGGAAUUCCCGGUGUAGCGGUGAAAUGCGCAGAUAUCAGGAGGAACACCGGUGGCGAAGGCGGAUCUCUGGGCCUUACCUGACGCUGAGGAGCGAAAGCAUGGGGAGCAAACAGG